AUUGAACGCUGGCGGCAUGCCUUACACAUGCAAGUCGAACGGCAGCACGGGAGCAAUCCUGGUGGCGAGUGGCGAACGGGUGAGUAAUAUAUCGGAACGUGCCCAGUCGUGGGGAUAACGUAGCGAAAGCUACGCUAAUACCGCAUACGAUCUAUGGAUGAAAGCGGGGGAUCGCAAGACCUCGCGCGAUUGGAGCGGCCGAUAUCAGAUUAGGUAGUUGGUGAGGUAAAGGCUCACCAAGCCGACGAUCUGUAGCUGGUCUGAGAGGACGACCAGCCACACUGGGACUGAGACACGGCCCAGACUCCUACGGAGGCAGCAGUGGGGAAUAUUGGACAAUGGGCGGAAAGACCUGAUCCAGCAAUGCCGCGUGAGUGAUGAAGGCCUUAGGGUUGUAAA
Molecule: ribosomal RNA, 399 nt
Filed under: uncultured bacterium
Lineage: Bacteria
Description: bacterial SSU rRNA
Rfam family: Bacterial small subunit ribosomal RNA
Source: RNAcentral